This 674-nucleotide ribosomal RNA is filed under the name Scrippsiella trochoidea var. aciculifera. Its description in RNAcentral is "LSU rRNA". It matches the Rfam family "Eukaryotic large subunit ribosomal RNA", at positions 1 to 662 of the family's 3401-position model. The record is from RNAcentral. Lineage: Eukaryota; Dinophyceae; Peridiniales; Peridiniaceae.
GAAGACAUGAAGUYAGGUCAGCAAACCCGCUGAAUUUAAGCAUAUAAGUAAGCGGAGGAAAAGAAACUAAAUAGGAUUCCCUCAGUAAUGGCGAAUGAACAGGGAUGAGCUCAGUAUGGGAAUUGGGGCCUGUGGCCUUGAAUUGUAGUCUGGAGAUGUACCACCAACUGGGGCGCAGAUGUAAGCCUCUUGGAAAAGAGCAUCAAUGAGGGUGAGAGUCCCGCUUGGCAUCUGCAGUCCCCAGUGCACGGUGUACCUUCUAAGAGUCACGUUCCUCGGGAUUGGAGCGCAAAGUGGGUGGUAAGUUUCAUCUAAAGCUAAAUAUUGUUUCGAGACCGAUAGCAAACAAGUACCAUGAGGGAAAGGUGAAAAGGACUUUGAAAAGAGAGUUAAAAGUGCCUGAAAUUGCUGAAAGGGAAGCGAAUGGAACCAGCGUAACUUGGUGAGAUUGCUACGUGUCAAUGUGAUUGCUUGCUGCUUCAACGUAAGUGCGGCAGUAAGUCUUGAACAGGACAUGUGUGGUGCUUCUUGCCUUGUGUGUCACCGUCAGUUCACAGCUGGGGAAAACUUCAGGGGCAUGGUAACCUGUCUCCGGGUGGGUGAAUGCGUCUGUUGGAACUCAUUUGUGGAUUGCUUGGUGACUAAAUGGUUCCAUCUGACCCGUCUUGAAACAC